CCUACGGGCUGCAGCAGUGGGGAAUAUUGGACAAUGGGCGAAAGCCUGAUCCAGCCAUGCCGCGUGUGUGAAGAAGGCCUUCGGGUUGUAAAGCACUUUCAGUGGGGAAGAAAGCCUUGGGGCUAAUACCCUCGAGGAAGGACAUCACCCACAGAAGAAGCACCGGCUAACUCCGUGCCAGCAGCCGCGGUAAUACGGAGGGUGCGAGCGUUAAUCGGAAUUACUGGGUGUAAAGCGCGCGUAGGCGGUCUGAUAAGCCGGUUGUGAAAGCCCCGGGCUCAACCUGGGAACGGCAUCCGGAACUGUCAGGCUAGAGUGCAGGAGAGGAAGGUAGAAUUCCCGGUGUAGCGGUGAAAUGCGUAGAGAUCGGGAGGAAUACCAGUGGCGAAGGCGGCCUUCUGGACUGACACUGACGCUGAGGUGCGAAAGCGUGGGUAGCAAACAGGAUUAGAUACCCCGGUAGUC
Molecule: ribosomal RNA, 465 nt
Filed under: Vreelandella stevensii
Lineage: Bacteria; Pseudomonadati; Pseudomonadota; Gammaproteobacteria; Oceanospirillales; Halomonadaceae
Description: partial 16S ribosomal RNA
Rfam family: Bacterial small subunit ribosomal RNA
Source: RNAcentral